This 505-nucleotide ribosomal RNA is filed under the name uncultured bacterium. RNAcentral's name for it is "bacterial SSU rRNA". It matches the Rfam family "Bacterial small subunit ribosomal RNA", at positions 32 to 518 of the family's 1533-position model. The record is from RNAcentral.
AACGCUGGCGGCGUGCUUAACACAUGCAAGUCGAACGCGAAAGGGACUUCGGUCCUGAGUAAAGUGGCGCACGGGUGAGUAACGCGUAGAUAACCUGUCUUCAUGUCUGGAAUAAUACGCCAAAGGGGUACUAAUACCGGAUAUUCUUGCUUUUCAUAAGUUAUGCAAGCAAAGGUGGCCUCUGCAUAUGCUACUGCAUGAAGAGGGGUCUGCGUACCAUUAGCUAGUAGGUGGGGUAAUGGCCUACCUAGGCGACGAUGGUUAGCGGGUCUGAGAGGAUGAUCCGCCACACUGGCACUGGAACACGGGCCAGACUCCUACGGGAGGCAGCAGUGAGGAAUAUUGCGCAAUGGGGGAAACCCUGACGCAGCGACGCCGCGUGAGUGAGGAAGGCCUUCGGGUCGUAAAGCUCUGUCAAGAGGAAAGAAGUGUACAAUGGCUAAUACCUGUUGUAUUUGACGGUACCUCUAAAGGAAGCACCGGCUAACUCCGUGCCAGCCGCGGC